AGAGUUUGAUUAUGGCUCAGGAUGAACGCUGGCGGCGUGCUUAACACAUGCAAGUCGAGCGGAAAUAUUUAAAAGCUUGCUUUGAAUAUUUAGCGGCGGACGGGUGAGUAACGUGUGGGUAACCUGCCAUAUACUGUGGAAUAACCAUUUGAAAAGAUGACUAAUACCGCAUGUCGUCACCGAGGGGCAUCCCUUGGUGAAAAAAGGAGUAAUCCGGUAUAUGAUGGACCCGCAUCUGAUUAGCUAGUUGGUGAGAUAAUAGCUCACCAAGGCGACGAUCAGUAGCCGACCUGAGAGGGUGAUCGGCCACAUUGGGACUGAGACACGGCCCAAACUCCUACGGGAGGCAGCAGUGGGGAAUAUUGCACAAUGGGCGAAAGCCUGAAUGCAGCAACGCCGCGUGAAGGAAGAAGGGUUUCGGCUCGUAAACUUCUAUCAAUGGGGAAGAAAUAAAUGACGGUACCCAAAUAAGAAGCCCCGGCUAACUACGUGCCAGCAGCUGC
RNAcentral lists this ribosomal RNA (503 nucleotides) under uncultured bacterium. Its description in RNAcentral is "bacterial SSU rRNA". It matches the Rfam family "Bacterial small subunit ribosomal RNA", at positions 8 to 518 of the family's 1533-position model. The record is from RNAcentral.